Mustela putorius furo (domestic ferret) is the source of this 107-nucleotide small nuclear RNA. The record is from Ensembl. Lineage: Eukaryota; Metazoa; Chordata; Mammalia; Carnivora; Mustelidae.
GUGAUAGCUUCAGCAGCACAUACACUAAAAUUGAAAUGAUACAGAGACGAUUAGGAUGGCCUCUGCACAAGGAUGACAUACAAAUUCGUGAAGCGUUCCAUAUUUUA